This 420-nucleotide ribosomal RNA is filed under the name uncultured bacterium. Its description in RNAcentral is "bacterial SSU rRNA". It matches the Rfam family "Bacterial small subunit ribosomal RNA", at positions 560 to 982 of the family's 1533-position model. The record is from RNAcentral.
UUAAAGGGUGCGUAGGCGGGAAAUUAAGUCAGUGGUGAAAUCCUGCAGCUUAACUGUAGAACUGCCAUUGAUACUGGUUUCCUUGAGUAUAGUUGAAGUGGGCGGAAUGUGUAUUGUAGCGGUGAAAUGCUUAGAUAUUACACAGAACACCUAUUGCGAAGGCAGCUCACUAAACUAAUACUGACGCUGAGGCACGAAAGCGUGGGGAGCAAACAGGAUUAGAUACCCUGGUAGUCCACGCCGUANACGUUGAUUACUCGAUGUGUGCGAUACACUGUACGCGUCUGAGCGAANGCAUUAAGUAAUCCACCUGGGGAGUACGAUCGCAAGAUUGAAACUCAAAGGAAUUGACGGGGGCCCGCACAAGCGGAGGAACAUGUGGUUUAAUUCNAUGAUACGCGAGGAACCUUACCUGGGCUU